AGGCUCGUAGCUCAGCGGGAGAGCGCUACCUUGACACGGUAGAGGUCGGCGGUUCGACACCGCCCGAGCCUACCA
RNAcentral lists this transfer RNA (75 nucleotides) under Archangium sp. RNAcentral's name for it is "tRNA-Val". It matches the Rfam family "tRNA". From Rfam's summary of the family: Transfer RNA (tRNA) molecules are approximately 80 nucleotides in length. Their secondary structure includes four short double-helical elements and three loops (D, anti-codon, and T loops). Further hydrogen bonds mediate the characteristic L-shaped molecular structure. tRNAs have two regions of fundamental functional importance: the anti-codon, which is responsible for specific mRNA codon recognition, and the 3' end, to which the tRNAs corresponding amino acid is attached (by aminoacyl-tRNA synthetases). tRNAs cope with the degeneracy of the genetic code in two manners: having more than one tRNA (with a specific anti-codon) for a particular amino acid; and 'wobble' base-pairing, i.e. permitting non-standard base-pairing at the 3rd anti-codon position. The record is from RNAcentral. Lineage: Bacteria; Pseudomonadati; Myxococcota; Myxococcia; Myxococcales; Archangiaceae. RNAcentral also lists the same sequence under 8 other names.